CCCCCUUGAUUUGGAAGCCCCUUGAG
RNAcentral lists this non-coding RNA (26 nucleotides) under Mus musculus (house mouse). Lineage: Eukaryota; Metazoa; Chordata; Mammalia; Rodentia; Muridae. The record is from RNAcentral.